Molecule: transfer RNA, 73 nt
Filed under: Caudoviricetes sp.
Lineage: Duplodnaviria; Heunggongvirae; Uroviricota; Caudoviricetes
Description: tRNA-Asn
Rfam family: tRNA
About the family: Transfer RNA (tRNA) molecules are approximately 80 nucleotides in length. Their secondary structure includes four short double-helical elements and three loops (D, anti-codon, and T loops). Further hydrogen bonds mediate the characteristic L-shaped molecular structure. tRNAs have two regions of fundamental functional importance: the anti-codon, which is responsible for specific mRNA codon recognition, and the 3' end, to which the tRNAs corresponding amino acid is attached (by aminoacyl-tRNA synthetases). tRNAs cope with the degeneracy of the genetic code in two manners: having more than one tRNA (with a specific anti-codon) for a particular amino acid; and 'wobble' base-pairing, i.e. permitting non-standard base-pairing at the 3rd anti-codon position.
Source: RNAcentral
GGGAGAUUAGCUUAGUUGGUAGAGCAAUCGGCUGUUAACCGAUAGGUCAUAGGUUCGAAUCCUAUAUCUCCCG